GACGAACGCUGGCGGCGUGCUUAACACAUGCAAGUCGAACGGUGACCCAGGGCUUGCCCUGGUGAUCAGUGGCGAACGGGUGAGUAACACGUGGGCAACCUGCCCCUGACUUCGGGAUAACUCCUCGAAAGAGGAGCUAAUACCGGAUACGACCACUUCGGACAUCCGAUGGUGGUGGAAAGUUUUUCGGUCAGGGAUGGGCCCGCGGCCUAUCAGCUAGUUGGUGGGGUAAUGGCCUACCAAGGCGACGACGGGUAGCCGGCCUGAGAGGGCGACCGGCCACACUGGGACUGAGACACGGCCCAGACUCCUACGGGAGGCAGCAGUGGGGAAUAUUGCGCAAUGGGCGAAAGCCUGACGCAGCGACGCCGCGUGAGGGAUGAAGGCCUUCGGGAUGUAAACCUCUUUCAGCAGGGACGAAGCGAAAGUGACGGUACCUGCAGAAGAAGCACCGGCUAACUACGUGCCAGCAGCCGCGGU
Molecule: ribosomal RNA, 480 nt
Filed under: uncultured bacterium
Lineage: Bacteria
Description: bacterial SSU rRNA
Rfam family: Bacterial small subunit ribosomal RNA
Source: RNAcentral